RNAcentral lists this long non-coding RNA (240 nucleotides) under Brassica napus (rape). RNAcentral describes it as "long non-coding RNA (BNAP_LNC019085)". Lineage: Eukaryota; Viridiplantae; Streptophyta; Magnoliopsida; Brassicales; Brassicaceae. The record is from RNAcentral.
GGAAGCGAGCUAAGUAUGUGUGGCAAUCGUUUCUCAUUUUUGCGAGAGCUUAGAUCGGUUAGCAAGAUCUGCCAGAGCAAUUAAAGAGCAAUAGGAAAAAUUGCCUAUGACUUAGUUCACUAGACUAUCCACCUAAGUUUUAAGUUCCUUAAAAUUCUAAGGCAGUCUCAAAAGCCUUUUAUUGCUUAGUACCUUCCUACGAAAAUUCUAAGUUUGAUCUUGAAACAAGUUGGACAUACC